This is a non-coding RNA of Caenorhabditis elegans, 143 nucleotides long. The record is from Ensembl. Lineage: Eukaryota; Metazoa; Nematoda; Chromadorea; Rhabditida; Rhabditidae.
AGCGCGCUCCAUUGACAAGAUUCCUUGUGGACUCCUCUCGGGUAACACACAUGAACAUUAUUUUUAUUUUAUUUCUUUAUUUUCUUCGGAUUUUCUGAUUUAAAAAGUUUGUUAAUUAUUUUAUUAUUUAAUUUAUUGUUUAC